UCACUAAGCGGAGGAAAAGAAACUAACAAGGAUUCCCUUAGUAACUGCGAGUGAACAGGGAUUAGCCCAGCACCGAAGCCUGUGGUUAUUUGACUGCAAGGCAAUGUGGUGUUUAGGUUUGUUCUUGGCAUUACUGCUCUGCCCCAAGUCCAGCAAUGAGUACGGCAUACCGUUCUGGCCCAAAGAGGGUGAAAGGCCCGUGGGGGUAGAGACCAAGCAUGACAGUUUUGUCCAGAGCUUACCUUGGAGUCGGGUUGUUUGAGAAUGCAGCCCAAAGUGGGUGGUAAACUCCAUCCAAGGCUAAAUACUUGCACGAGUCCGAUAGUAAACAAGUACCGUGAGGGAAAGUUGAAAAGUACUUUGAAGAGAGAGUAAACAGUGCGUGAAACCGCUCAGAGGUAAACGGGUGGAGUUGAACUGCGAUCCUUGGGAAUUCAGCUGAUGAGCAUGAUUUGUGCUUGGGCAUAUUGACCGCCUUUCAGUGUCUGCUUAACUGCGGGUGCCUGCCUCUGGUGGGUAUGUGUGGUGCGCUUAUCAUGUGCCGCACGCAUUGGAGGGUGUAUGAGUCUGCUUGUCGGUGCACUUUCUCAGGGUGUUCACCACGACCGGCACUGCUGUCUGUCUGCUUUGGUCAAACUGAUCAGGUCUGAUUAACGUUGGGCUUGGUUGGGUUGGCAGGUGACUCACUGGUCCAUUCUGUGGGCUAUGAGUGUUACUAGCCGGCUUUAGUGGAUCUGUACGGUGUGUCGGAGACGGCGGCUUUGCAUAUGCGCUCUGUCCUUCAGGCGUGGUUGAGUCUGGUCGACUUGUUGCUAGUUUCGGCUGGUCAGUUGAUGGCUUGAUCAUGUUCAGUUGGCAGUGGUGUGUGUGUCUUAGUUUGGGCCAAUAGUCUGUGGUGUUGUGGUAGACUAUCCACCUGACCCGUCUUGAACACGGACCAAGGAGUUUAACAUGUGCGCGAGUCAUUGGGCUUUACGAAACCCAAAGGCGCAGUGAAGGUAAAGGUUUGGCUUGUCCAGGCUGAGGUGAGAUCCUGUUGUUUUGCUCAUUAAUUCCAAGCUGCGAGCAGCAGGCGCAUCACCGGCCCGUCCCAUGACGUAGACAUGUGGCCUUGUGCUAUGUGCACCGUCGGGGCGGAGCAAGAGCGUACAUGUUGAGACCCGAAAGAUGGUGAACUAUGCUUGCGAAGGUUGAAGCCAGAGGAAACUCUGGUGGAGGACCGUAGCGAUUCUGACGUGCAAAUCGAUCGUAUAACGUGAGUAUAGGGGCGAAAGACUAAUCGAACCAUCUAGUAGCUGGUUCCCUCCGAAGUUUCCCUCAGGAUAGCUGGCAUUCUGAGAUAUAAACAGUUUUAUCCGGUAAAGCGAAUGAUUAGAGGCAUUGGGGAGAAAACAUCCUCAACCUAUUCUCAAACUUUAAAUGGGUGAGAAGCUUAACUCGCUUAAAUGGAGUUUUGCAUUGAAUGUGAGUGCCAAGUGGGCCAUUUUUGGUAAGCAGAACUGGCGCUGUGGGAUGAACCAAACGUGCGGUUAAGGUGCCUAACGCGACGCUCAUGAGAUACCACAAAAGGUGUUGGUUGGUCCAGACAGCAGGACGGUGG
Molecule: ribosomal RNA, 1600 nt
Filed under: Trichobilharzia novaeseelandiae
Lineage: Eukaryota; Metazoa; Platyhelminthes; Trematoda; Strigeidida; Schistosomatidae
Description: partial large subunit ribosomal RNA
Rfam family: Eukaryotic large subunit ribosomal RNA
Source: RNAcentral